This 1135-nucleotide ribosomal RNA is filed under the name uncultured Planctomycetota bacterium. RNAcentral's name for it is "bacterial SSU rRNA". It matches the Rfam family "Bacterial small subunit ribosomal RNA", at positions 82 to 1187 of the family's 1533-position model. Lineage: Bacteria; Pseudomonadati; Planctomycetota. The record is from RNAcentral.
GGGGGCGAGUAAAGCGGCGAAAGGGUUAGUAACGCGUAGGUAACGUACCCCAGAGCUCGGGACAACCCAUCGAAAGGUGGGCUAAUACCGGAUAGAAUACUGGCGCGCAUGCGCUGGAUAUGAAAGAUGGGGAUUCUUCGGGACCUGUCACUUUGGGAGCGGCCUGCGUCCUAUCAGUUAGUUGGUGAGGUAACGGCUCACCAAGACUUACGGGUAGCCGAGCUGAGAGGCUGACCGGCAACACUGGGACUGAGACACUGCCCAGACUCCUACGGGAGGCUGCAGUCGAGGAUCUUUAACAAUGGGCGAAAGCCUGAUUAUGCGACGCCGCGUGCAGGAUGAAGGCCUUCGGGUUGUAAACUGCUGACAGGGGUUAGGAAAUGCGGCGGUGUGAACAUCACCGCCGUUUGACCAGCCCCAGAGGAAGCCAUGGCUAACUACGUGCCAGCAGCAGCGGUAAUACGUAGAUGGCAAGCGUUGUUCGGAAUCACUGGGCAUAAAGAACGCGUAGGCGGUUCUGUAAGUCAGAUGUGAAAUCCCCCGGCUUAACCGAGGAAUUGCGUUUGAGACUGCAGGACUGGAGUGCAGAAGGGGAGAGUGGAAUUCCUGGUGGAGCGGUGAAAUGCGUAGAUAUCAGGAAGAACGCCGGAGGCGAAAGCGACUCUCUAGUCUGUAACUGACGCUGAGGUGCGAAAGCCAAGGGAGCAAACAGGAUUAGAUACCCUGGUAGUCUUGGCUGUAAACGAUGGGCACUAAGUAGAGGGGAUUCCGAUGUCUCCUCUGCUGGAGCAAAUGUGUUAAGUGCCCCGCCUGGGGAGUAUGGCCGCAAGGUUAAAACUCAAAGGAAUUGACGGGGGCUCGCACAAGCGGUGGAGUAUGUGGCUUAAUUCGAGGCAACGCGAAGAACCUUACCCGGGUUUGACAUGCAGGUGGUACAGACCCGAAAGGGCGAGGACCUCAGCAAUGGGGAGCCUGCACAGGUGUUGCAUGGCUGUCGUCAGCUCGUGUCGUGAGAUGUUGGGUUAAGUCCCGCAACGAGCGCAACCCCUAUCGUUAGUUGCCAUCAGGUCUUCGGACGCUGGGAACUCUAACGAGACUGCCCGGGUUAACCGGGAAGAAGGUGGGGAUGAUGUCA